CCUACGGGAGGCAGCAGUGAGGAAUAUUGGUCAAUGGGCGCGAGCCUGAACCAGCCAAGUAGCGUGAAGGAUGACUGCCCUACGGGUUGUAAACUUCUUUUAUAAAGGAAUAAAGUGCGGCACGUGUGCCUUUUUGUAUGUACUUUAUGGAUAAGGCUCGGCUAACUCCGUGCCAGCAGCCGCGGUAAUACGGAGGUGCCGAGCGUUAUCCGGAUUUAUUGGGUUUAAAGGGAGCGUAGAUGGGUUGUUAAGUCAGGUGUGAAAGUUUGCGGCUCAACCGUGAAAUUGCAAUUGAUACUGGGAGUCUGGAGUGCAGGUGAGGUAGGCGGAAUUCGUGGUGUAGCGGUGAAAUGCUUAGAUAUCACGAAGUACUCCGAUUGCGAAGGCAGCUUACUAAACUGCAACUGACAUUGAUGCUCGAAAGUGUGGGGAUCAAACAGGAUUAGAUACCCGGGUAGUC
Molecule: ribosomal RNA, 460 nt
Filed under: uncultured bacterium
Lineage: Bacteria
Description: partial 16S ribosomal RNA
Rfam family: Bacterial small subunit ribosomal RNA
Source: RNAcentral